Molecule: ribosomal RNA, 85 nt
Filed under: uncultured eukaryote
Lineage: Eukaryota
Description: partial small subunit ribosomal RNA
Source: RNAcentral
UCGCUCCUACCGAUUGAGUGAUCCGGUGAACCUUUUGGACCGUUAUACGGAAAGAUAAGUAAACCUAAUCACCUAGAGGAAGGAG